GGCUCUUUGGUCUAGAGGUAUGAUUCCUGCUUUGGGUGCACUCAUGCAGGAGGCCCCGGGUUCGAUCCCCGGAAGAGCCC
Coniochaeta pulveracea is the source of this 80-nucleotide non-coding RNA. The record is from the annotation of a GenBank genome assembly. NCBI's taxonomy places the organism in Eukaryota, Fungi, Ascomycota, Sordariomycetes, Coniochaetales, Coniochaetaceae.